Long non-coding RNA from Liolophura sinensis, 334 nucleotides. RefSeq lists it as uncharacterized. The record is from RefSeq and is a predicted model, not a curated record. The transcript has 3 exons. NCBI's taxonomy places the organism in Eukaryota, Metazoa, Mollusca, Polyplacophora, Chitonida, Chitonidae.
AAUAGCCCGUUUUCGGGUUGGUUUGUCUGCCUCAGUCUGUCUCUUCUGGUCAUCGCGGAGGCUGUUCAAGGUGUGGCCACCACCCCAAACAACGCGGGAUGUCACAGUACCGUAUCAAUCUUAAAACUAGUAAACGUUACUACAGCGGAAGCCGUGGUGAAGUCGUACAGCGUAAGGCAGUCCGUGUCGUGUGGACUAUGGAGUCUAGGACGUUGUACCCGAUACAGUCUACAGUACAGAAUUGUUUACGAGACCAAACUGAGGCUGCGCACAGAGACUCACUACAGUAAGUCGUGCUGUCCAGGGUGGAAGGGAGACAACUGUGAUAUGGGUA